Molecule: non-coding RNA, 1092 nt
Organism: Anas platyrhynchos (mallard)
Lineage: Eukaryota; Metazoa; Chordata; Aves; Anseriformes; Anatidae
Source: RefSeq, a predicted model, not a curated record
GCCUCAUCCCAGUACAAACUGGGCCCAUUCCCAGUACAAACUGAGACCCUCAGCCCUUUCCCAGUAUGAAUUGAGCCCAUCCCAGUUCGAACUGGGCCCCCCAACCCCAUCCCGGUACAAACUGGGCCCAUUCCCAGUACAAACUGGGCGCCUUUCCCUUCGCCCCGCCCCCCGUUGCCAGGUAACCGCCACCGCCGUUCCCGCCUCUUUUCCCCCCGUUGCCAGGCAACCGCCGCCAUUUUGUCCCCUCUCCCCGUUGCCAGGCAACCGCCGCCAUUUUGUCCCCUCCCCCCGUUGCCAGGCAACCGACGCCAUUUCGUCCUGCCCCGCCGGGCUGCCCGCACUGCGCAUGCGCGCUCGCCGGCCUCCCAUUGGCUCCCGCCCCGCGGCUUCAAACGGUCCGGCGGGAGCGAUGGCGGCGGAGGCUGCGGCCGGAGGAGUGUCAAGACACGGGUUUUCCUGUUUGCAAGUCCCAGAUCCUGGUGAACAUCACCUAGGUUGGUUAACCUAGCAGCUGUGCACAGAAGCUGUCUCCAAGAACCCACAGAAACCUCGGGAAUGUUUGCACCCUGCAGUGUCCCUUUUCUGUGACAGUCUGAGUGAUUUAAGGCCCCCAGGGUGACACGGGGUCAUUGAAGUCAUCUUAGUCCAGUGGCUUCCACAAGACUGUCUGCUUCUUCAGCCUGACUGCAGGCAUUUACCUCUGACCACACUGCCACCCUGACUGGCUCUGCUCUGACCCUCACCCACAAGGGCUCCCCCACUCUGCUGCCCAUCCCAUAGAGGAGCUCCAUGCAUCCAGACAGAUCCUUCACAUGGAGGGCAACCCCCUGUUGAUCAUCCCCGCCUGUCUCUUCUGAAGAAUCUGCCCCCAUCCAGCACAGCACCCCAAGCUGGGGGACCUGUCCCCCCACACCUCAGCAGCUCUUCCAUCAAUGUCCCAGCCCUGUGACAGCAGGCGGGGAUCCAGCUCCUCCUGCCUUUGCCCCAGCCUGAGGGCAUUGGGGCACAUCUGGGCUGCAGCACCUCAGCUGUGGCACAAGGGCCAAACUCAGACUUGUCCCAGACCUUGUGCCAAGAGCCUGGGCAUGA